This 857-nucleotide ribosomal RNA is filed under the name Candidatus Phytoplasma solani. RNAcentral's name for it is "bacterial SSU rRNA". It matches the Rfam family "Bacterial small subunit ribosomal RNA", at positions 198 to 1062 of the family's 1533-position model. The record is from RNAcentral. Lineage: Bacteria; Bacillati; Mycoplasmatota; Mollicutes; Acholeplasmatales; Acholeplasmataceae.
AAGACCUAGCAAUAGGUAUGCUUAGGGAAGAGCUUGCGUCACAUUAGUUAGUUGGUGGGGUAAUGGCCUACCAAGACGAUGAUGUGUAGCCGGGCUGAGAGGUCGAACGGCCACAUUGGGACUGAGACACGGCCCAAACUCCUACGGGAGGCAGCAGUAAGGAAUUUUCGGCAAUGGAGGAAACUCUGACCGAGCAAUGCCGCGUGAACGAUGAAGUAUUUCGGUACGUAAAGUUCUUUUAUUAGGGAAGAAAAGAUGGUGGAAAAACCAUUAUGACGGUACCUAAUGAAUAAGCCCCGGCUAACUAUGUGCCAGCAGCCGCGGUAAUACAUAGGGGGCAAGCGUUAUCCGGAAUUAUUGGGCGUAAAGGGUGCGUAGGCGGUUAAAUAAGUUUAUGGUCUAAGUGCAACGCUCAACGUUGUGAUGCUAUAAAAACUGUUUAGCUAGAGUUGGAUAGAGGCAAGUGGAAUUCCGUGUGUAGUGGUAAAAUGCGUAAAUAUACGGAGGAACACCAGAAGCGAAGGCGGCUUGCUGGGUCUUAACUGACGCUGAGGCACGAAAGCGUGGGGAGCAAACAGGAUUAGAUACCCUGGUAGUCCACGCCCUAAACGAUGAGUACUAAACGUUGGAUAAAACCAGUGUUGAAGUUAACACAUUAAGUACUCCGCCUGAGUAGUACGUACGCAAGUAUGAAACUUAAAGGAAUUGACGGGACUCCGCACAAGCGGUGGAUCAUGUUGUUUAAUUCGAAGGUACCCGAAAACCUCACCAGGUCUUGACAUGCUUUUGCAAAGCUGUAGAAAAUACAGUGGAGGGUUAUCAGAAGCCACAGGGUGGGUGGCAUGGUUGUUCGUCCA